Drosophila subpulchrella is the source of this 1257-nucleotide long non-coding RNA. RefSeq lists it as uncharacterized. The transcript is spliced from 2 exons. The record is from RefSeq and is a predicted model, not a curated record. Lineage: Eukaryota; Metazoa; Arthropoda; Insecta; Diptera; Drosophilidae.
AGUCCCAUAUUAAGCAAUCCCGCAUUUUCUCACUCGAAAUGCCUGCCAAAAAUUCACAAAAGCUGCUUUUGUGUGCGCUUUAUAGCAGAACAUACUAAAAUGCAAGAGGAUUCGACAAAAUUCCACCAUUCGUCACGGAUCGAAAUCAUCACUCAGUCGACAACGACGAAGGCAGUGCCGAAAGCACUUUUAAAAUGACAUUUAAAUAUAUAAUAUAUAUAUUGUUGAACACUUUUAGAUACCUUAAAUUACAUUUAAAGUCAUUUUAAAACCCAAGUGAUUUGAGUGGUAUCACACAAUUGCAUACCACAAAUCCAUUACGAUUGAAGUAAUAUUGGUCACGAUAUUAAAAGCUUGGGUUGCAUAUUUUUUAUUAUACGUUCUCAUAAAACUAAAAUAGUAAUAUAAACAUACACAAGGACAGCGUUGAAAGAGUUCUGAAACAAUAUGCUUAUAAUAUAUGAAAGCUAAGUAAAGGAGUAAUACCUACGAAGAGAAAAGAAGAAUUAACAUGUAACGUUUUAUGGGAAAAAAUUGAGACUAGGCACUCAGGCCAGAUUUCUCGAUUUAUUUUUUAUUUGCUAGAAGAAGUAUUAGAAUUAUUUACUUGUCCCCAUGCUUCCGCAGGUAGCUAGCAUAAAAUUGUUGAGGCUGAGUCUAAAACCUAAAGUAUUGCCCUCACCAGAGCAAUACAUUUUCUUCCUUUUCUUUUUAAAACAGACAUUUUUGUUGUUGUUUGUCAAUACAUGUUUGUAAAGCGUUUUGUUGACUUUUUUGUUUUUAGUCUUAUCGGAAUGAACUAAAUUUAAGAUUUGAAUGGUUUUGAAUUAUUUAGCUGGGCCGAAAAAUCCAAAAACGCAACAAAAAAACAAAUUGGUUUUACCUAGUUCAAACAAAGUGUUUUCAUUAAGUUAAGUCAAGUUGUUUUUAUCAUUUAUCAUUUUUUUCAUUUGUUGUAAAAGUCAUCUAGAUAUCUCAUACUAGAUAUCUCUCCCAAAGUCAGGAUAUUAAGAAUACGUGCUAUCUUACCUUUUUUAUGAACGCUUUUUACAGUUUUUAGUAAUUUGUGCAUAGUUUCUUUACGCGUGUUGCCAAUUAUAAAACACGUCCUAAAAAAAAUAUGUCAACAUUGUAACUUUAGCGUGAAAACAUGUGAAAUAGAAAGUUAACAUUUUAGAAUAUAGGAAUACCACUAUUGAAAUUAAUAAGAAUGUAUGAAUUUGUUAAAAAAAUAAAGUUGAUUCAUAAAAAGCAAAA